Molecule: non-coding RNA, 475 nt
Organism: Labrus bergylta (ballan wrasse)
Lineage: Eukaryota; Metazoa; Chordata; Actinopteri; Labriformes; Labridae
Source: RefSeq, a predicted model, not a curated record
UACAAUGAUUUACUAAACAAACAAUAAAAGGGAAGAACAUUUUUAGAAGAAUGAUUUAAAUAAUUCCCGUUCUUUCUCAAGUUUGGAUCAAAACUCCGAUACAGAUAAGGAGCUGAGAAACCUCUUUGAAAAACUGGAGACAGAAACAUGUAGGACAGUAGACAUCACAAACAGUUUUGACAUUACAGACGUGCAUCAACAACGUGAUGCUGCUGAAUGCCUGGAAAUGAUUUUACACAAAGUCAGCCCACAGGCCUCCCAGGUUUUCAAAGGACAGCUGAAAUACUCGACAACAUGCUCCAAAGGCCACAACCUCAACACAGAGACGAAUCCAUUUCUGACUCUUCCACUGUCACUGAAGGAUGCUAACAAUUCAACCUUCAGUGUGGAGAGUGGCUUUGACAACGUUUUCCAGACAAAAUCCUUCAUCGGAGACAACCUGGUGUACUGUGAGCAAUGUGGAAAGAAAACAGAG